AUCUCAAGAAGACGUCUCCUCCCAUUGCGUUUCUUGAGUGUUCCCCUCUGGAGGUUUUGUCAGAUCGACUUUAGUCUCUGAAACCUUCAAACUUCAGCCGGACAUUUGUCCGGCUUUUUUUU
Molecule: small RNA, 122 nt
Filed under: Ditibartonella apis
Lineage: Bacteria; Pseudomonadati; Pseudomonadota; Alphaproteobacteria; Hyphomicrobiales; Bartonellaceae
Description: Bartonella apis Alphaproteobacterial ar15
Rfam family: Alphaproteobacterial ar15
Source: Rfam by way of RNAcentral